GACGAACGCUGGCGGCGUGCUUAACACAUGCAAGUCGAACGGAAAGGCCCUGCUUUUGUGGGGUGCUCGAGUGGCGAACGGGUGAGUAACACGUGAGUAACCUGCCCUUGACUUUGGGAUAACUUCAGGAAACUGGGGCUAAUACCGGAUAGGAGCUCCUGCUGCAUGGUGGGGGUUGGAAAGUUUCGGCGGUUGGGGAUGGACUCGCGGCUUAUCAGCUUGUUGGUGGGGUAGUGGCUUACCAAGGCUUUGAAGGGUAGCCGGCCUGAGCGGGUGACCGGCCACAUUGGGACUGAGAUACGGCCCAGACUCCUACGGGAGGCAGCAGUGGGGAAUAUUGCACAAUGGGCUGAGGCCUGAUGCAGCAACGCCGCGUGCGGGAUGACGGCCUUCGGUUUGUAAACCGCUUUCGCCUGUGACGAAGCGUGAGUGACGGUAAUGGGUAAAGAAGCACCGGCUAACUACGUG
RNAcentral lists this ribosomal RNA (468 nucleotides) under uncultured bacterium. Its description in RNAcentral is "partial 16S ribosomal RNA". It matches the Rfam family "Bacterial small subunit ribosomal RNA", at positions 28 to 507 of the family's 1533-position model. The record is from RNAcentral.